RNAcentral lists this ribosomal RNA (253 nucleotides) under uncultured bacterium. RNAcentral describes it as "partial 16S ribosomal RNA". It matches the Rfam family "Bacterial small subunit ribosomal RNA", at positions 524 to 776 of the family's 1533-position model. The record is from RNAcentral.
UACAGAGGUCCCAAGCGUUGUUCGGAUUCAUUGGGCGUAAAGGGUGUGUAGGUGGCGCCGUAAGUCGGGUGUGAAAUUUCGGAGCUUAACUCCGAAACUGCAUUCGAUACUGCCGUGCUUGAGGACUGGAGAGGAGACUGGAAUUUACGGUGUAGCGGUGAAAUGCGUAGAUAUCGUAAGGAAGACCAGUGGCGAAGGCGGGUCUCUGGACAGUUCCUGACGCUGAGGCACGAAGGUCAGGGGAGCAAACAGG